GGGCAAGAGGCUGGUAGCAAAUCGUACCUUGAAUUUUGUCUAUCGUGUUAGCAAGCUGCUAACACGGCCCAUCUCCCCUCUUGAACCCCUACUAGAAACCUCAUCCAUGUUGCCGAGCAUCUGGCAGGUUUGGACGAGGUCCAUCAUGGUGGUUUGUAUCAUUUUUCUGGCGCUUGUAAUGAUCUGCAGUGGCGACAAAGGUCAGGAUUCAGGCGGACCGUAUGAAACUGGUCCUCCGAGACCUCACUCUCCGUACUUGCACUACCCAGCAAGGCCAUAAAUAUCCCGGUGGAGAAAUCACCAGGUGGUGUUGUGUCAGCAUCAAGGGGUGCACAGGUGUUUAUUGGGGCCCUUUUGCAUAUGAUGACGCGGGACACGUGAAGAGCUGAUACUCAAUUACGUACGCCCGUAAAGGAAAAAGACGUUAUAUAUAAUAAUAAGCUUACAAAUAGUUAAUAGUAAAAUAACGGCCUUUUUUUUCUUUCUCCCGGUUAGUGUGAGAUAGUAACUCACAAAAUAUAUUCAUUUCAAGCUUUCUUUUUCUUUUGAAAGCAGCUUUGAAGCUUUCUUGUAUCACCCAAAGUGGAAACUUAUGUAUAUGACAUAAAACUUUCAGGUAUUCUUCUCAAAAAAAAAAACUUUAAGGU
This is a long non-coding RNA of Panicum virgatum (switchgrass), 647 nucleotides long. RefSeq lists it as uncharacterized. Lineage: Eukaryota; Viridiplantae; Streptophyta; Magnoliopsida; Poales; Poaceae. The transcript has 2 exons. The record is from RefSeq and is a predicted model, not a curated record.